GGCGGCCGCGUUGCGCCGUACCCCCAUCUGCUGAUGGACCGGCGCACCGAGGAAGGUCCGGACUCCACCGGGCAGGGUGGUGGCUAACGGCCACCCGGGGCGACCCGCGGGACAGUGCCACAGAGACAGACCGCCAGCGGCCUCACUCCCUGAGUGAGGUGCGGGUAAGGGUGAAACGGUGGUGUAAGAGACCACCAGCGCCGCAGGUGACUGCGGCGGCUGGGUAAACCCCACCUGGAGCAAGACCAAGAGGGCCCGCUGCGCGAGCAGCCGGCCUGCGCGGACGUUCGAGGGUGCCCGCCCGAGUUCGCGGGUAGGUCGCUGGAGAGCAUCGGCAACGGUGCUCGUAGAUGGAUGGCCGCC
Molecule: RNase P RNA, 363 nt
Filed under: Propionibacteriales bacterium
Lineage: Bacteria; Bacillati; Actinomycetota; Actinomycetes; Propionibacteriales
Description: RNase P RNA component class A
Rfam family: Bacterial RNase P class A
About the family: Ribonuclease P (RNase P) is a ubiquitous endoribonuclease, found in archaea, bacteria and eukarya as well as chloroplasts and mitochondria. Its best characterised activity is the generation of mature 5'-ends of tRNAs by cleaving the 5'-leader elements of precursor-tRNAs.
Source: RNAcentral